This 253-nucleotide ribosomal RNA is filed under the name uncultured bacterium. RNAcentral's name for it is "partial 16S ribosomal RNA". It matches the Rfam family "Bacterial small subunit ribosomal RNA", at positions 524 to 776 of the family's 1533-position model. The record is from RNAcentral.
UACAGAGGGUGCAAGCGUUGUUCGGAAUUACUGGGCGUAAAGAGCGCGCAGGCGGUCGUGCAAGUCGCGUGUGAAAGCCCCCGGCUCAACUGGGGAGGGUCACGCGAUACUGCUCGACUCGAAGGCAGGAGAGGGAAGUGGAAUUCCCGGUGUAGUGGUGAAAUGCGUAGAUAUCGGGAGGAACACCUGUGGCGAAAGCGGCGCACUGGACCACAACUGACGCUGAGGCGCGAAAGCUAGGGGAGCAAACAGG